ACCGGCGGCACUAGCGCGGUGGUCCCACCUGACCCCAUGCCGAACUCAGAAGUGAAACGCCGUAGCGCCGAUGGUAGCGUCUCCCCAUGCGAGAGUAGGGAACGCCGUGC
RNAcentral lists this ribosomal RNA (110 nucleotides) under Salmonella enterica subsp. enterica. The record is from RNAcentral. Lineage: Bacteria; Pseudomonadati; Pseudomonadota; Gammaproteobacteria; Enterobacterales; Enterobacteriaceae.